RNAcentral lists this ribosomal RNA (468 nucleotides) under uncultured bacterium. RNAcentral's name for it is "partial 16S ribosomal RNA". It matches the Rfam family "Bacterial small subunit ribosomal RNA", at positions 28 to 507 of the family's 1533-position model. The record is from RNAcentral.
GACGAACGCUGGCGGCGUGCUUAACACAUGCAAGUCGAACGGACAGGCCCUGCUUUUGUUGGUUGCUCGAUUGGCGAACGGGUGAGUAACACGUGAGUAACCUGCCCUUGACUUUGGGAUAACUUCAGGAAACUGGGGCUCAUACCGGAUAUGAUCUCCUGCUGCAUGGUGGUGGUUGGAAAGUUUCGGCGGUUGGGGAUGGACUCGCGGCUUAUCAGCUUGUUGGUGGGGUAGUGGCUUUCCAAGGCUUUGACGGGUAGCCGGCCUGAGAGGGUGACCGGGCACAAUGGGACUGAGAUAGGGCGCAGACUCGUACGGGAGGCAGCAGGGGGGAAUAUUGCAGAGUGGGCGGAAGCGUGAUGCAGCAACGCCGCGUGCGGGAUGACGGCCUACGGGUUGUAAACCGCUUUCGCCUGUGACGAAGCGUGAGUGACGGUAAUGGGUAAAGAAGCAACGGCUAACUACGUG